GACGAACGCUGGCGGCGUGCCUAAUACAUGCAAGUAGAACGCACAGUUUAUACCGUAGCUUGCUACACCAUAAACUGUGAGUUGCGAACGGGAGAGUAACGCGUAGGUAACCUGCCUGGUAGCGGGGGAUAACUAUUGGAAACGAUAGCUAAUACCGCAUAAUAUUGAUUAUUGCAUGAUAAUUGAUUGAAAGAUGCUAUUGCAUCACUACCAGAUGGACCUGCGUUGUAUUAGCUAGUAGGUGAGGUAACGGCUCACCUAGGCGACGAUACAUAGCCGACCUGAGAGGGUGAUCGGCCACACUGGGACUGAGACCAGGCCCAGACUCCUACGGGAGGCAGCAGUAGGGGAUCUUCGGCAAUGGACGAAAGUCUGACCGAGCCACGCCGCGUGGGUGAAGAAGGUUUUCGGAUCGUAAAGCUCUGUUGUAAGAGAAGAACGGGUGUGAGAGUGGAAAGUUCACACUGUGACGGUAUCUUACCAGAAAGGGACGGCUAACUACGUG
RNAcentral lists this ribosomal RNA (505 nucleotides) under uncultured bacterium. Its description in RNAcentral is "partial 16S ribosomal RNA". It matches the Rfam family "Bacterial small subunit ribosomal RNA", at positions 28 to 507 of the family's 1533-position model. The record is from RNAcentral.